RNAcentral lists this ribosomal RNA (450 nucleotides) under uncultured bacterium. Its description in RNAcentral is "partial 16S ribosomal RNA". It matches the Rfam family "Bacterial small subunit ribosomal RNA", at positions 354 to 796 of the family's 1533-position model. The record is from RNAcentral.
GUGGGGAAUAUUGGACAAUGGGCGAAAGCCUGAUCCAGCCAUGCCGCGUGUGUGAAGAAGGUCUUCGGAUUGUAAAGCACUUUAAGUUGGGAGGAAGGGCAGUAAGUUAAUAACUUGCUGUUUUGACGUUACCGACAGAAUAAGCACCGGCUAACUUCGUGCCAGCAGCCGCGGUAAUACGAAGGGUGCAAGCGUUAAUCGGAAUUACUGGGCGUAAAGCGCGCGUAGGUGGUUUUGUAAGUUGGAGGUGAAAUCCCCGGGCUCAACCUUGGAACUGCCUACAAAACAGCAUGACUAGAGUACGGUAGAGGGUAGUUGAAUUGCCUGUGUAGCGGUGAAAUGCGUAGAUAUAAGAAGGAACACCAGUGGCGAAAGCGACUACCUGGACUGAUACUGACACUGAGGUGCGAAAGCGUGGGGAGCAAACAGGAUUAGAUACCCGGGUAGUCC